RNAcentral lists this ribosomal RNA (450 nucleotides) under uncultured bacterium. Its description in RNAcentral is "bacterial SSU rRNA". It matches the Rfam family "Bacterial small subunit ribosomal RNA", at positions 329 to 793 of the family's 1533-position model. The record is from RNAcentral.
AUCCAGACUCCUACGGGAGGCAGCAGUGGGGGAUAUUGCACAAUGGGGGGAACCCUGAUGCAGCGACGCCGCGUGGGUGAAGAAGUAUUUCGGUAUGUAAAGCCCUAUCGGCAGGGAAGAAAUUGGACGGUACCUGACUAAGAAGCCCUGACUAACUACGUGCCAGCAGCCGCGGGAAUACGUAGGGGGCAAGCGUUAUCCGGAUUCACUGGGUGUAAAGGGGGCGCAGACGGCGAUGCAAGCCAGGAGUGAAAGCCCGGGGCCCAACCCCGGGACUGCUCUUGGAACUGCGUGGCUGGAGUGCAGGAGGGGCAGGCGGAAUUCCUGGUGUAGCGGUGAAAUGCGUAGAUAUCAGGAGGAACACCGGUGGCGAAGGCGGCCUGCUGGACUGCAACUGACGUUGAGGCCCGAAAGCGUGGGGAGCAAACAGGAUUAGAUACCCCGGUACUG